RNAcentral lists this unclassified non-coding RNA (902 nucleotides) under Hevea brasiliensis (rubber tree). Lineage: Eukaryota; Viridiplantae; Streptophyta; Magnoliopsida; Malpighiales; Euphorbiaceae. The record is from RNAcentral.
CCUUGUAAUUCUCUUCCAACCCUUUUCUUCUAUUUGUCAGUUUUUGCUUCUUUCAUUCAUGGGUUAGAUUAUUUUUUCCCUUUUGCCUCGAUUCUCGUAAUGGAGUGGGAUAGUAAUUCGGAUCUCAGUGGGGACGAGGAUGACGGAUUCACGCUUAACGAUGAUGCUGAUUCUGGUGGUGCUGCUGGUCCGCUCCCUUUCCCUGUUGAGAAUUUGCUCCAAACGGCGCCUUGUGGGUUCAUUGUCACUGAUGCGCUCGAGCCUGACCAUCCUAUUAUCUAUGUCAACACUGUUUUUGAGAUGGCUACUGGCUAUCGAGCUGAGGAAGUGCUUGGGCGUAACUGCCGCUUCUUGCAAUGUAGAGGUCCAUUUGCCAAAAGAAGGCAUUCAUCGGUGGAUUCAACAGUGGUUGCAGAAAUAAGAAGACACCUUGAGGAGGGCAUUGAAUUUCAAGGUGAAUUAUUGAACUUCAGAAAAGAUGGAUCUCCUCUAAUGAACAGGUUGCAGCUUACUCCAAUAUAUGGAGAUGAUGAAACAAUAACUCAUGUUAUUGGAAUCCAAUUCUUCACAGAAGCAACUAUUGAUCUAAGUCCUGUGCCGGGUUCUUCAUUAAAGGAGCGUGCAAAAUCAGCUGAUCGAUUUCGUUCUGGUUUUUCUACUUAUUGUUCUAUCCCAGUACGGGACUGCAGUGUUUAUCGCGGGGUUUGUGGGAUACUGGAAUUGAGUGAUGAGGUGCUGUCUCUCAAAAUACUUUCACGUUUGACACCAAGAGACAUUGCAUCUGUAGGUUCAGUCUGUACGCGACUCUAUGAGCUGACUAAGAAUGAGGAGCUUUGGAGAAUGGUUUGCCAGAAUGCUUGGGGUAGUGAAACUACUCGUGUUUUAGAGACUGUGCCUGGUGC